RNAcentral lists this ribosomal RNA (1204 nucleotides) under Megacalanus sp. 46 CWD-2021. Its description in RNAcentral is "SSU rRNA". The record is from RNAcentral. Lineage: Eukaryota; Metazoa; Arthropoda; Copepoda; Calanoida; Megacalanidae.
AUCAACGAUACGGGACUCAUCUGAGGCCCCGUAAUCGGAAUGAGUACACUUUAAAACCGUCCCCGAGGAUCUAUUGGAGGGCAAGUCUGGUGCCAGCAGCCGCGGUAAUUCCAGCUCCAAUAGCGUAUAUUAAAGUUGUUGUGGUUAAAAAGCUCGUAGUUGGAUCUCGGCGGUCUGAGGGCGGUUCACUUGCUAGUGCUACUGCCCUAUAGACCGUAGUUUUGCCAGAGGUCUCAGGGUGCUCUUAAUCGAGUGUCUUGUGAUGCUGGCAGGUUUACUUUGAAAAAAUUAGAGUGCUCAAAGCAGGCUUUUACGCCUGAAUAUUCGUGCAUGGAAUAAUAGAAUAGGAAGUCGUUUCUAUUUUGUUGGUUUUCGGAAAUCGACUUAAUGAUUAAUAGGGACAGUCGGGGGCAUUUGUAUUCAAACGACAGAGGUGAAAUUCUUGGACCGUUUGAAGACAAACUACUGCGAAAGCAUUUGCCAAGAAUGUUUUCAUUAAUCAAGAACGAAAGUUAGAGGUUCGAAGGCGAUUAGAUACCGCCCUAGUUCUAACCAUAAACGAUGCCAGCUAGCGAUCUGCCGACGUUUUUUUUGUAGACUCGGCAGGAAGCUUCCGGGAAACCAAAGCAUUUGGGUUCCAGGGGAAGUAUGGUUGCAAAGCUGAAACUUAAAGGAAUUGACGGAAGGGCACCACCAGGAGUGGAGCCUGUGGCUUAAUUUGACUCAACACGGGAAAUCUCACCAGGCCCGGACACUGGAAGGAUUGACAGAUUGAUAGCUCUUUCUUGAUUCGGUGGGUGGUGGUGCAUGGCCGUUCUUAGUUGGUGGAGUGAUUUGUCUGGUUAAUUCCGAUAACGAACGAGACUCUGUCCUGCUAAAUAGUGUCCGCCUCUCUUCUGGGCGGACAAUUCUUCUUAGAGGGACUGGCGACUCUCAGUCGCACGAGAUUGAGCAAUAACAGGUCUGUGAUGCCCUUAGAUGUUCUGGGCCGCACACGCGCUACACUGAAUAGAUCAACGUGKUCCCCCUGUCCGAGAGGACCGGGUAAACCGCUGAACCCUAUUCGUGGUAGGGAUCGGGGCUUGCAAUUGUUCCCCGUAAACCAGGAAUUCCCAGUAGGCGCAAGUCAUAAGCUUGUGUCGAUUACGUCCCUGCCCUUUGUACACACCGCCCGUCGCUACUACCGAUUGAACGUUUUAGUGAG